RNAcentral lists this ribosomal RNA (252 nucleotides) under uncultured Cryomonadida. RNAcentral's name for it is "partial 18S ribosomal RNA". The stretch from base 80 to 244 matches the Rfam family "Eukaryotic small subunit ribosomal RNA", at positions 749 to 974 of the family's 1831-position model. Lineage: Eukaryota; Cercozoa; Thecofilosea. The record is from RNAcentral.
GACUUCUGGUUUUCUGUGCCUGGCCCGCGGUCAGAAGACCUGUGAGUGCCGGUGUGCCUUUAUCUGGGUGUGGUACGGGCAUUUACCUUGAAAAAAUUAGAGUGUUUCAAGCUUAUGCCAUGAAUACAUUAGCAUGGAAUGAUAGGGAAAGUUGGGGGUGCUAGUAUUGGCCUGUCAGAGGUGAAAUUCUUGGAUUCGGUCAAGACUAACUUAUGCGAAAGAAUUCACCAAGGAUGUCUUCUUCUGUCUCUU